CAGAAUCGCAAGCAGCCUCUCCUAGCUCUGUCGUGGGAUCACAGAACCUCCAGUGCUCUGCCCCUGGCUUAAUCUUGUCCUCAGCACAGUUCUGGACACAGACAUGGACACUCCCAUUUUACUGAAGGAAACCAGCCCAGGCUCACACAGCUGGAGUCCUCAGGAGAUCCCUAUUGAGUCAGCUGGAUUUCUUCUCUGACGACCACCCUCUCCCCCCGGAGAAUCAAGUAUAUGAAGGUUCACCUCUCCCUUAAUGAAGUUGAUACCAAGGGAGUGAAAUCAAAGUCCGAAAAACAGCCUCUGCAGAAAGAAAAUGCUCAGCUUAAGAUCCAAAAGAAUCAGGAAGCUGGGACUGAAAGAAUGGGAGCAGUGGAAGGGGAGAAGCAGCUGUCAGCCACAGAGGAGAAAGUGAAAUUAGCUGCAGAAGAGCUUCGGAACUACAAGUGAGUUCAGCUCCUACCAGCAGCUCUCACGACAGCCAUUUUAUUACUUUGAAACUUUGUACAGUGUUUAGAGCCAAGUAGCACACACAUACACACAAACAUUCAGGAGACAUUCAUUUUUAUAGAGACUUCAAGAGAGAUGUGACAUUUUCCA
This 597-nucleotide long non-coding RNA is filed under the name Felis catus (domestic cat). Its description in RNAcentral is "lncRNA (ENSFCAG00000051165.1)". Lineage: Eukaryota; Metazoa; Chordata; Mammalia; Carnivora; Felidae. The record is from RNAcentral.